Molecule: ribosomal RNA, 327 nt
Filed under: Triticum aestivum (bread wheat)
Lineage: Eukaryota; Viridiplantae; Streptophyta; Magnoliopsida; Poales; Poaceae
Description: partial small subunit ribosomal RNA
Source: RNAcentral
AUGACAUUUGUAUUGAUCAUCGCUGGCACACUUGUUCCGGGCAUGCCAUCAGCUACAAUUGCACAUCCUAUGGCUGCAAAAUUUCAUGGCCUGUGUGUCAUUAUACAGUUUUAUUAUAAUGGUAAAGAUAGAACUAUAGAAGUUAAACUUGGGCUUACUGUUCUUGUUUGUCCCAACGUUAACUUGAGCUUGGAGGUUCUUACUGAGCCUGUAUUUCUGAAACAUCAAAGAAAUUCUGACUUGACUGCAGUUAUGGGUGCCAUUUUUAACAUGAGAAUUUAUGAUUAUCAUGUACCUGAAGGUGGCUUUUCAGAUGAUACAAGGUGA